CCAAGGAGUCUAACAUGUGCGCGAGUCGCUCGGUCUUGAAUAGGCCAGAGAGGCGCAAUGAAAGUAAAGUUGAUUGAGUUACGAUCCUUGUGCAGUUGCCGUGUAAAAGCGGUGACGGCAGGGCGCAGUAACAGCCCUCUCAUUUCGCUCAUAUCGACGAAGGAGAGGAGUUAUAGCGUACACGUUGGUACCCGAAAGAUGGUGAACUAUGCCUGAGCAAGAUGAAGCCAGAGGAAACUCUGGUGGAGGUCUGUAGCGAUUCUGACGUGCAAAUCGAUCGUCAGACUUGGGUAUAGGGGCGAAAGACUAAUCGAACCAUC
RNAcentral lists this ribosomal RNA (320 nucleotides) under Archoplophora rostralis. RNAcentral's name for it is "eukaryotic LSU rRNA". It matches the Rfam family "Eukaryotic large subunit ribosomal RNA", at positions 666 to 944 of the family's 3401-position model. Lineage: Eukaryota; Metazoa; Arthropoda; Arachnida; Sarcoptiformes; Mesoplophoridae. The record is from RNAcentral.